This 1157-nucleotide long non-coding RNA is filed under the name Equus caballus (horse). RNAcentral describes it as "lncRNA (ENSECAG00000035237.3)". The record is from RNAcentral. Lineage: Eukaryota; Metazoa; Chordata; Mammalia; Perissodactyla; Equidae.
ACUUUCUUAUAGCAGCCAGAACUGACCAAGACAGUGAGCAUGUGAGUUUGGGGCAUCCUGGAGCCACCUUGAGACUCCAUGAACAAUAGGGCAAGAACACUGUUGUCAACACAUAAUGCUGGACCAUCAGAUGUGCCUGGAAAAGGAAUGGGCAUCUCAGGAGUGAAAUGGAACUGCAGCUCUGCCACGCUCAUGUCUCCGGGGAUGUCCAUGCUCUUUCCUGUGUGUCUUUAUUUAAAUUUUGAAAAUGACAUCAGAACAGAGCACAUUGUCACCUAAAGUCCUGCUGACACGCAUGAAGAUGUGCCUGCAUACACAUUCUGGGACUUUAGUGAUGGAUAUUCAUCAAUAACUUUUGGAGAGAAAUCAGAGGGGAAAAAUAACAAUAAUUGGAAGUUUAGACCUGGACAUGCAUUUCAACGGACAGAACAGUUUCAAAUGUCAGUUCAACUCAAUUUAACAAACAUUUACUUUGAACCGAAUAAACAAAACCGAGGCGAUAAGAGGCUUCACAGAGAAAGAGACUUGACUUUGGGAUUAGAAGAUGAUUUGAAACCAUCUAAUCACUUUUUCUCUGCUAUCCUCAUUGCCCGAAAUAGGCUCUCCUCUCCUCUUUAAGGGAUUGCUGUGACAGCCUCAAAGUGAUCUUUAAAAUGCAGUAUAAUACAGGGUCUUUCUUUUUUCUCCACGCUAUUAUCCACAGCUCAAAAUCGCAAAAUAUAGGCAUGUUAAAAUGACAUUAAAUUAUUUAAAUCAUUUUUAAAAAACAGAGAAAAUGGUGUCAUGAACUGGAGCGGCUAUGCCUAUAUACAAGAUGAGGAAAUUGAGGGCCAGAUGCCCUUGUUCCUUCAACUCAGAUGUGGCAGAGACAGAAGUUAAGUCCACGUUUCCCCAGAUCCCUCCAUUUCCAGACCACACGCUUCUUCCAUCCUCCAAUGCUGUUUUGUGUGCUUCCUGAUUACUCUCUGCUCCUCUUUCACCCACUGAAUGUAAAUUGCUGUAAUUUUUAAAUGUUUAUUGCACAGGUAUUUAGAAAAUUAUAGCCUCUGUUAAGAUUUUUUUGAUAUCUAUAUCUCACUCAUAUACAAGGAACUGAUUCUCUGAAGUACAUGUGAAAAACAACUGUGUCGUUUGAAGUCGUGAUGCAAAGUAAGAUC